GACGAACGCUGGCGGCGUGCUUAACACAUGCAAGUCGAACGGAAAGGCCCUGCUUUUGUGGGGUGCUCGAGUGGCGAACGGGUGAGUAACACGUGAGUAACCUGCCCUUGACUUUGGGAUAACUUCAGGAAACUGGGGCUAAUACCGGAUAGGAGCUCCUGCUGCAUGGUGGGGGUUGGAAAGUUUCGGCGGUUGGGGAUGGACUCGCGGCUUAUCAGCUUGUUGGUGGGGUAGUGGCUUACCAAGGCUUUGACGGGUAGCCGGCCUGAGAGGGUGACCGGCCACAUUGGGACUGAGAUACGGCCCAGAAUCCUACGGGAGGCAGCAGGGGGGAAUAUGGCAGAAUGGGCGGAAGCCUGAUGCAGCAACGCCGCGUGCGGGAUGACGGCCUUCGGGUUGUAAACCGCUUUCGCCUGUGACGAAGCGUGAGUGACGGUAAUGGGUAAAGAAGCACCGGCUAACUACGUG
Molecule: ribosomal RNA, 468 nt
Filed under: uncultured bacterium
Lineage: Bacteria
Description: partial 16S ribosomal RNA
Rfam family: Bacterial small subunit ribosomal RNA
Source: RNAcentral